AAUCAACGCUGGCGGCGUGCCUCAGACAUGCAAGUCGAACGAUUAAAGCUCUCUUCGGAGAGUGUAUAGAGUGGCGCACGGGUGAGUAACACGUAAGUAAUCUACCCUCGAGUGGGGAAUAACAACCGGAAACGGUUGCUAAUACCGCAUAAUGCAGCGGCACCGCAAGGUGACAGUUGUUAAAGAUUUAUCGCUUGAGGAGGAGCUUGCGGCAGAUUAGCUAGUUGGUAGGGUAACGGCUUACCAAGGCUACGAUCUGUAACCGGUCUAAGAGGACGGUCGGUCACACUGACACUGAAUAACUGGUCAGACUCCUACGGGAGGCAGCAGUCGGGAAUUUUGGGCAAUGGGCGAAAGCCUGACCCAGCAACGCCGCGUGAAGGAUGAAGUAUUUCGGUAUGUAAACUUCGAAAGAAUAGGAAGAAUUAAUGACGGUACUAUUUAUAAGGUCCGGCUAACUACGUGCCAGCAGCCGCGGUAAU
RNAcentral lists this ribosomal RNA (482 nucleotides) under uncultured bacterium. RNAcentral describes it as "bacterial SSU rRNA". It matches the Rfam family "Bacterial small subunit ribosomal RNA", at positions 32 to 524 of the family's 1533-position model. The record is from RNAcentral.